CCUACGGGAGGCAGCAGUGGGGAAUAUUGGGCAAUGGGCGCAAGCCUGACCCAGCAACGCCGCGUGAAGGAAGAAGGCCCUCGGGUUGUAAACUUCUUUUAACAGGGACGAAGAAAGUGACGGUAUCUGUUGAAUAAGCCACGGCUAACUACGGGCCAGCAGCCGGGGUAAUACGUAGGUGGCAAGCUUUAUCCGGAGUUACUGGGUGUAAAGGGCGUGUAGGCGGGAGAGCAAGUCAGGCGUGAAAUUCCAGGGCUCAAGCCUGGAACUGCGUUUGAAACUGUUCUUCUUGAGUGAUGGGGAGGCAGGCGGAAUUCCGUGUGUAGCGGUGAAAUGCGUAGAUAUACGGAAGAACACCGGUGGCGAAGGCAGCCUGCUGGACAUUAACUGACGCUGAGGCACGAAAGCGUGGGGAGCAAACAGGAUUAGAUACCCUUGUAGUC
RNAcentral lists this ribosomal RNA (443 nucleotides) under uncultured bacterium. RNAcentral's name for it is "partial 16S ribosomal RNA". It matches the Rfam family "Bacterial small subunit ribosomal RNA", at positions 338 to 795 of the family's 1533-position model. The record is from RNAcentral.